AAAAGCUUUUGUAAUAAUUGUAGUUUAAAUGUUUAGGACUUAGAUUUGUAGUAGGUUUUGAUUCUUGUACCUUCAUACUUUAUAUUUGUUGUUCAAAAUCAUAAACGCACGGUUUUAAUCAAUUAAAUCAAGUAUUAAUCGAUUAAUACCUUUUUUAAUCGAUUAGUUAAUCGAGAGAAUAAUCGAUUAAAACUAGCCGUUGGAGUUUUCUAGUUUUUGAAAACUAGCCGCUGUACUCAUUUUAAUCGAUUAACAUUAAUAUUAAUCGAUUAAAUGCGUUAAAUGGCCAGUUACGAAGAAUGGAAGAGUUUUUGCUUGAGUCUAUAAAUAGGCUCUCUUUAUCCAUCAACAACAAGGGAGCACUUAAAAGCUGACUGCCCAAAUCAAAAGAAGCAUGAAGAAAUAAAAGAAAAUAAAUUCUUCAAGAAAAAGAAAGCCUACAUCGCAUGGGACGAUGACAAUGAAACAAUUUUUGAUUUGAGCGAAUCUGAUGAAGAGGCAAACAUUUGUUUAGUGGCAGAAGACGACGCUCGAAGCCAAGUAAGUUCAUCUAGCGAUUCUGAUAAUUAUAGUCAAUUUAGUGAAAGUGAAUUGCAUGAAACUUGUGCUGCUUUAAUAGUUGAAUCAGAAAAUUAGAUAAAGCUCAUAAGAAAUUGAAAAAGGAUUUCAAAAAUUUAAAAUUAAAUUUUGAAAAUAUUUCAGAAGAAAAUAAAAAUUUAAAAUUAGAUUUUGAAAAUAUUUAUGAGGAAAAUAAAAAUUUAAAAUCAAAUUUUGAAAAUAUUAUUGAAGAGAAUAAAAAUUUGAAAAAAAAAAUUUUAUUUUUUGAAAAAGGUAAAUAUAUUAGUAGUGAUGAAUGUGCUUCUUGUGAAAAUUUUAAGAAACUCCUAAACAACACAACCUUAGAAGAAUGCAGUAAAAAUAAUGAAAAUAAGGUUGUUAAAAAUAAGUAUGUUCCUAAAAUUAAAAAUAAGCAUAAUAAUAUAAUCCAUAGAACAUGGGUAGAAAAAGGAACAGCUUAUAGGAACACAAAUUUUAUAUCAUGUUUUUAUUGUAUGAAAAAGGGUCAUACUUCAAAUAAAUGUAAAAUUAAGCAUUUCGGUGUUCCAAGUGUUAGAUAUAUUUGGGUUGUAAAAUGAUUUCAUUCCAAGAAUUUUAAAAUAUAAAAUUUACAAUUUAAAUUUUUUUAUUUUAAUUUUUUUUAAACAAUUUUAGAAAAUUUCUUAUUCCAAGCAUGUUGUCUUUGAUAAAAUUGUGGACCUUGAGACAAAACCUCUUGAGUCAGUUAAAUUAGAUGCAGGUAAUGAUGAAGACUUGCAGAAGACAACAAAAGAAGAGAAAAAUUAUGACAAUCCUUAAGAUCUCAACAAUUUAUCUUUACGAAUUUGGAGACAUAUCUAAAGGGGUAAACUUUACAAGAGAUCUAGGAAUUUUAUAAAUCUCUUAGGAUUGCAUUUUUGGUCCAUUUUGUGCAUUCUUGUGUAUUUUUUUUUCUAAAAAAAAACUAACCAUAUUUUUUUGUGUGUUUUAAAAUUCCUAUCUUGUAUGGUUCAAUGUAUGAUUUUUAAAGUUCUUUAUCCUAAAAUUAAAUGUUUUAAAUCUCCUAUUGUGUAUGUUUGAAUAAAUCCUUAAUUUUGGAAUAUAUUUAGCUCAUAUGCAUACAUGCUUUUACUAAGGGGGAGUAUUAUCUUAGGGGGACAACAUGAAACACAACUUUUUAAUUAUGAUAAAAAAGGGGGAGAAAAGGUUUAAAGCUUAUUAUUAUUCUCUAAUGCUUUUUUCCUCUAUAAGUUGUGUUUUUACUCAGAUUAUUACUAAAAGCUUUAAUUUAGAGGAGGUUUUGAUCAUCAUAAAAAAGGGGGAGAAUGUUAGCAAAAUGAUGAAGAUGAAGUUUUGAUAAUGUUCAAAUCAAGUCAGGAUAUAUCAAGAUUCACGAAGAUCCUUUGAAGAUUUAUUUUUGUUAUUAAAAGUUUUUGUAAUAAUUAUAGUUUAAAUGUUUAGGACUUAGAUUUGUAGUAGGUUUUGAUUCUUGUACCUUCAUACUUUAUAUUUGUUAUUCAGAAUCAUAAACGCACGGUGAUAACUCUCCAACUUUACAUAUUUUUUUGUGUUUAGAGAGUCUUUCUUAACUUCUAUUUGCUCUUAAUUGUAUAGAGUUAGCUUAGUUUUAGAAUUUUUCUUUAAAAUUGUAGUUUUAUAAAAUUUUAGUUAAAAAUAGGUUUUUAGGAGUAUUUUUUGAUAUUUGUAAAUAAUUAGGUAUUUAAUUUUUUAGAAAAUCUUUUAAUAAAAAUUGUUUUUAAUUGUUUUCUUUAUUUUUGAAUUGCUGAAAUAUGUUUUUAAUUGUUGAUGAGCCUUAAUUCAAUUUUUUUUCUUUACUGCAGGAUAGGCCUUUAAUAAUUGGGUUGAUUUCAAGAUUGGGCCAAUGCAUGGAGUUAAGUAGCUGCUGCUCUGAAGAAAAAGAAAUGUUGUUACCACACAUUUGGGGAAUUAAGCCUGCGUUGCUGUGCGUUUUGGAGGCUGGUUGAUUUAGUGAGAAGCAGAUUGGGUUUAUUGAAAGAAACUUGGGCCGCUGCUGGACUGCUACACUGAACAUCUACUACACUUAAACAAUUCAUUGGUGCUGAUCUGAAGAAAAUGGAAUUGGGUUGGCAGGUUAUUGAUUGCACAACGGGCCUAAGUAGAACGACACCGUUUUGGUGAAGAGACUGAAUUUGCUGUUGCAGGGGUCUUUGAACCUCAUCUUCAUUCACACAAGCUCUCGAGAAAUUCAUUGGAGGAAAAGAGAGAAAACCCAAAGCUAGGGCUUAGUUCAUGAGAGAACGAGAGAAGCAACAGUUGGAGGCACGUGACCAAAGUAGCUACCCGGAGAAGAUGGCUGGUGAGAAAGAAGAUGCUGACCGGAAAUGCCACGUGGAGGGCAAAGAUUGAAGCGUGUGAGAGAAGCAAGGUUCCCUUUUUAGUUUUAUUUUCUUUCAUCUUUUUCUGACCCUAUAUAAAAAGGGGCUUUUGUAUUAUAAAGAGAUUUUUUUACACAGACUCUUAGACACUUUUCACAUUCUUUGACAGUUUACAUUUUUUAGUUUUUAGUUUCUGAAGAGUAGUUUGAGUGAUCGAGAGCUUAGGGUUUGAGUUUACGCUUUCCAUAAGAGUAGAUUCUCGUUUCUCUUGCGUUUGACCGAACAUUCACGGUAAGUGACAACCGUGAUGAUCGCAAUUGCUUCGGUAAUCUCUCUUGUAAACUUCAUUCUUAUCAAUAAACUCUCGGUUACUUUAAUUUUCUCGGUGUUAAUUGCUUUACUAUUCUGUUAUGAUGAUUGCUUUUCGUUCUUGUGUUCUUAUGUGAUUGUGUUCUUGUGUUGUUUUUAAAGGAAAAUUGAUUUGAACUCAUAAAUCUGCAUAUUGAAAUUCCUUUCUGGAAUUAUAUGACCCCGAGGUGGGCGUAAGUGAACGAGAUGUCUUCCUGAGCCAGAUAAGAGUUCAAUCAAUGAAAAAAAUAUUUAAAUUCAUGUUCUUUUAGUUUCUGUGAGUUGUUGUUUGUAGAUUUGGAAUUGAAUUUGUUUUGAUUUGGUAAAUCAAUUGAUU
This 3579-nucleotide long non-coding RNA is filed under the name Vigna radiata. Its description in RNAcentral is "long non-coding RNA (VRAD_LNC012172)". The record is from RNAcentral. Lineage: Eukaryota; Viridiplantae; Streptophyta; Magnoliopsida; Fabales; Fabaceae.